RNAcentral lists this unclassified non-coding RNA (571 nucleotides) under Hevea brasiliensis (rubber tree). The record is from RNAcentral. Lineage: Eukaryota; Viridiplantae; Streptophyta; Magnoliopsida; Malpighiales; Euphorbiaceae.
CGCCCUCUGCCUCUGCCCCUACCUCGGCCUCGACCACGGACAUCAUAAGAAUCUUGAUUAAAAUCAGAAGGAACAUAGGCUUGUUUUCCUUGCUGCAGUUGUUGAUUCUCUGCUCCUGACUGAUCAAAACGAGACGGAGCUUGGUAGCCAGGAGAGGUUUGAUUCAACUCAGCAGUUGACAAAGUAAUUGUUAUCAGCGAGACCUGACGAGUCAUCUCCAAGGGUUGUAGACCCUCUUCAAGGGGCUCAUAUGCAUCAGUUAUGGUAGUUGAGCUGAUAGAUGUAUCUUGAUGCAACCCAGGAAUUCUCUUCUUAAUAAUCUCUGCAAUGGCAACUGUUUUACUGAUAGCCUGUCCCAUUGCCUUCAAAACAAUUUCAUUUGUUCGUUGGUCCUGAAGAAGAGUGGUGGCAUAGCUAAUGUAAUUUCGAAUAAGACCUUGUGCAGUGACUCUGAUCUCAUUCUCCUUAAUGGGUUCCUCUGGCCUAGGUUUCUCCACCUUCUGGUACCUAUCCAUUUUCUUCUUUUCUCAACAAAAUCACUCUCACUCUCUCUACACCUUUUUUUCUUUAG